CGAGCUCAGGGACCUCUGGGUUCACGGGGGCGGGGUGCCUCCUACUGUGCCGGCGGCUGUGGGCGAGGCAGGGCGAGGCGGGCCCAACCUGGGGCCAACUUCUCGUGUACCUGUCCCGGUUGUGGGCCCGGCACCCGUGCCCGCUUCUCUGGUGCCCUAGGUCAAGGCGUCCCCGGCACAGUCAGCUUUCCUGGCCCUGUCCCUGCCUCGCAAGAAGCGUGGGCCCAAGCAGCGGCGGCCGGGUGAAGAGCGGAGGCACCUCUUUCUUCUUUUUGAGGACAGCAUUGCCUGCUCCCGUGGGGUGUGUUUCCAUUCCUCAAGAAAGCUCUGGGAGUGA
RNAcentral lists this long non-coding RNA (337 nucleotides) under Homo sapiens (human). RNAcentral describes it as "HSALNT0406180". The record is from RNAcentral. Lineage: Eukaryota; Metazoa; Chordata; Mammalia; Primates; Hominidae.